CUCUUUCUUGAUUCGGUGGGUGGUGGUGCAUGGCCGUUCUUAGUUGGUGGAGCGAUUUGUCUGGUUAAUUCCGAUAACGAACGAGACUCUAGCCUGCUAAAUAGGUGGCGGGUUUUAUUAAAAAAUUUGGGUUCGGGGUUCGUCGGGACCAGGGUGUCUGUCUCAGGCGUUCUUUGUCCGCCGGUCGUUUUUUCUGCCGGCCGCCGGGUUGCGGGGCGAGGCGUUUCGGCGUCGCGUCUCGUUUCUUCGGUGGUCUGUGGGUGGGCGGUCGGUGGCUUGGUUCGUCGGGGGCCGGCGCUCCCCGGCGGUUCGCCCCGUUCUCGCGUCCGUCACAACUCUUCUUAGAGGGACAAGCGGCGUCCAGCCGCGUGACAGUGAGCAAUAACAGGUCUGUGAUGCCCUUAGAUGUCCUGGGCCGCACGCGCGCUACACUGAAGGAAUCAGCGUGUUUUUAUCCCCCUGUCCGAAAGGACCGGGUA
Molecule: ribosomal RNA, 479 nt
Filed under: Cercopagis pengoi
Lineage: Eukaryota; Metazoa; Arthropoda; Branchiopoda; Diplostraca; Cercopagididae
Description: bacterial SSU rRNA
Rfam family: Eukaryotic small subunit ribosomal RNA
Source: RNAcentral